CUUUAAUUUUAUCAAAAUUCCUACACUACCCUUAUUCUUUUUACCAAAACCUAACCCUAAUGCCUAAAUUAAACCCACACACUCUUACUCUCACAUAAGCAUACACUCUGAAGUCUGAACAAAAGAAAUAGAGAAAAGGGGGUGAGAAAGUCACCGAGGGAAGAAGAGAAGAAGAUGACGGCACUGGCAAAGCAAAGAGAAGCCGUCGCCGCUGUCGAGUUAUAGAGGCAGAGGGAGAGACGAAUAAGGAGAUAGAUGGAUAAAGAGAAGGCAGCACCACUAUCGUCGCUGCUGGGACUCAUCGCUGGAGUUACGGUCAUCGCCGUUGAAGGGGCCGCGUCGGACGGAGACAUUGCCAUCGCUGAAGCUCACCGCUGGUGCAACCCGAAGCUAUCUCCGCCUUUACUCUGCUCCACUGCGGCUGACCCAUACCUCUCCCCUGUUCGUCAAAGCUUGUAGUGUUGCUGCGGGAGUCACUCCAGAGGAGAGGAACCACCGCCACCGUUAUUCUGUUGUGUCCUUCACCGUCGACGUUGGAGAGGGUCACCAGAGCUGCUGAUGCUCCAUCCCCUUGUUUUCUUUGGCCGUUGGAUUUGCUGCCAUUGUUACCGUGGUUGUCCCAUGUUAUUAUUACUAGGGCUGUUGGCAUUACUGCAGUGAGAAUUGAAAUUGUUGCUACUACCCAAUCCAAAUUCUGCACUCUUUCGUACCCUUUAAUUCAGCACUCCGAGUUUGGUCUAUUCGGUCCCUUAGGACCACGCUCUG
Arachis ipaensis is the source of this 765-nucleotide non-coding RNA. The record is from RefSeq and is a predicted model, not a curated record. Lineage: Eukaryota; Viridiplantae; Streptophyta; Magnoliopsida; Fabales; Fabaceae.